GACGAACGCUGGCGGCGUGCUUAACACAUGCAAGUCGAACGGAAAGGCCUCUUUCGGGGGGUACUCGAGUGGCGAACGGGUGAGUAACACGUGAGUAACCUGCCCUUGACUUUGGGAUAACUUCAGGAAACUGGGGCUAAUACCGGAUAGGAGCUCCUGCUGCAUGGUGGGGAUUGGAAAGUUUCGGCGGGUGGGGAUGGACUCGCGGCUUAUCAGCUUGUUGGUGGGGUAGUGGCUUACCAAGGCUUUGACGGGUAGCCGGCCUGAGAGGGUGACCGGCCACAUUGGGACUGAGAUACGGCCCAGACUCCUACGGGAGGCAGCAGUGGGGAAUAUUGCACAAUGGGUGGAAGCCUGAUGCAGCAACGCCGUGUGCGGGAUGACGGCCUUUGGGUUGUAAACCGCUUUCGCUCAUGACGAAGCUUUGUGUGACGGUAGUGGGUAAAGAAGCACCGGCUAACUACGUG
Molecule: ribosomal RNA, 467 nt
Filed under: uncultured bacterium
Lineage: Bacteria
Description: partial 16S ribosomal RNA
Rfam family: Bacterial small subunit ribosomal RNA
Source: RNAcentral